GAUGAACGCUGGCGGCGUGCCUAAUACAUGCAAGUCGAGCGAACGGACGAGAAGCUUGCUUCUCUGAUGUUAGCGGCGGACGGGUGAGUAACACGUGGAUAACCUACCUAUAAGACUGGGAUAACUUCGGGAAACCGUAGCUAAUACCGGAUAAUAUUUUGAACCGCAUGGUUCAAAAGUGAAAGACGGUCUUGCUGUCACUUAUAGAUGGAUCCGCGCUGCAUUCGCUAGUUGGUAAGGUAACGGCUUACCAAGGCAACGAUGCAUAGCCGACCUGAGAGGGUGAACGGCCACACUGGAACUGAGACACGGUCCAGACUCCUACGGGAGGCAGCAGUAGGGAAUCUUCCGCAGUGGGAGAAAGCCUGACGGAGCAACGCCGCGUGCGUGAUGAAGGUCUUCGGAUCGUAAAACUCUGUUAUUAGGGACGAACAUAUGUGUAAGUAACUGUGCACAUCUUGACGUUACCUAAUCAGAAAGCCACGGCUAACUACGUG
Molecule: ribosomal RNA, 497 nt
Filed under: uncultured bacterium
Lineage: Bacteria
Description: partial 16S ribosomal RNA
Rfam family: Bacterial small subunit ribosomal RNA
Source: RNAcentral